GUGGGGAAUAUUGGACAAUGGGCGAAAGCCUGAUCCAGCCAUGCCGCGUGUGUGAAGAAGGUCUUCGGAUUGUAAAGCACUUUAAGUUGGGAGGAAGGGCAGUAAGUUAAUACCUUGCUGUUUUGACGUUACCGACAGAAUAAGCACCGGCUAACUUCGUGCCAGCAGCCGCGGUAAUACGAAGGGUGCAAGCGUUAAUCGGAAUUACUGGGCGUAAAGCGCGCGUAGGUGGUUUUGUAAGUUGGAGAUGAAAUCCCCGGGCUCAACCUGGGAACUGCCUCCAAAACUGCAUGACUAGAGUACGGUAGAGGGUAGUGGAAUUUCCUGUGUAGCGGUGAAAUGCGUAGAUAUAGGAAGGAACACCAGUGGCGAAGGCGACUACCUGGACUGAUACUGACACUGAGGUGCGAAAGCGUGGGGAGCAAACAGGAUUAGAUACCCGAGUAGUCC
RNAcentral lists this ribosomal RNA (450 nucleotides) under uncultured bacterium. Its description in RNAcentral is "partial 16S ribosomal RNA". It matches the Rfam family "Bacterial small subunit ribosomal RNA", at positions 354 to 796 of the family's 1533-position model. The record is from RNAcentral.